ACUCCUACGGGAGGCAGCAGUGGAGGAAUAUUGGACAAUGGGCGCAAGCCUGAUCCAGCCAUGCCGCGUGCAGGAAGAACGGCCCUAUGGGUUGUAAAACUGCUUUUGUACGGGAAGAAACCUACCCUCGUGAGGGUAGCUGACGGUACCGUAAGAAUAAGCACCGGCUAAUUCCGUGCCAGCAGCCGCGGUAAUACGGAGGGGUGCAAGCGUUAUCCGGAAUCAUUGGGUUUAAAGGGUCCGUAGGCGGGUAAAUAAGUCAGUGGUGAAAUGCAGGGGCUCAACUCCGGCACUGCCAUUGAUACUGUUUAUCUUGAAUUAUUGUGAAGUGGUUAGAAUAUGUAGUGUAGCGGUGAAAUGCUUAGAUAUUACAUAGAAUACCGAUUGCGAAGGCAG
This 396-nucleotide ribosomal RNA is filed under the name uncultured bacterium. RNAcentral describes it as "bacterial SSU rRNA". It matches the Rfam family "Bacterial small subunit ribosomal RNA", at positions 335 to 724 of the family's 1533-position model. The record is from RNAcentral.